RNAcentral lists this ribosomal RNA (460 nucleotides) under uncultured bacterium. RNAcentral describes it as "partial 16S ribosomal RNA". It matches the Rfam family "Bacterial small subunit ribosomal RNA", at positions 338 to 795 of the family's 1533-position model. The record is from RNAcentral.
CCUACGGGAGGCAGCAGUGAGGAAUAUUGGUCAAUGGGCUUACGCCUGAACCAGCCAAGUCGCGUGAAGGAAGACUGCCCUAUGGGUUGUAAACCUCUUUUGUCAGGGGGCAACACCGGCUACGUGUAGCCGGACUUAGAGUACCUGAAGAAAAAGCCUCGGCUAACUCCGUGCCAGCAUCCGCGGUAAUACGGAGGAUGCGAGCGUGAUCCGGAUUUAUUGGGUUUAAGGGUUGCGUAGGCGGAAUGCCAAGUCAGCGGUAAAAUCGCGGGGCUCAACCUCGCUCCGCCGUUGAAACUGGCGUUCUUGAGUGGGCGAGAAGUAUGCGGAAUGCGUGGUGUAGCGGUGAAAUGCAUAGAUAUCACGCAGAACUCCGAUUGCGAAGGCAGCAUACCGGCGCCAAACUGACGCUGAAGCACGAAAGCGUGGGUAUCGAACAGGAUUAGAUACCCGAGUAGUC